GUCACUGAAGUUCUAGGCAUGUUUAAUUGUCUCAAAUAAUAUCACUAGUAUUAGUAGCAUCUAGCCUAUCAAGCGUCUGUGUGUUUGUGACGAUUAAAUGUAUGUUCUGAAAAUGACGGCCUUGUUUAGUCUAUUCUUACACUAUUAUUAGCACAUACAGAGCCCUAAUCAACAAAUCCGUUCACCAUAAUUCCUUACAGCUCCAGUGUCGCACAAUGUUCUAGGACAGUGCGUCAAAUAAAAGACAUGUAUGCGCAGUUGAAAUGUCGAG
This is a long non-coding RNA of Dreissena polymorpha, 271 nucleotides long. RefSeq lists it as uncharacterized. NCBI's taxonomy places the organism in Eukaryota, Metazoa, Mollusca, Bivalvia, Myida, Dreissenidae. The record is from RefSeq and is a predicted model, not a curated record. The transcript has 2 exons.